This 617-nucleotide long non-coding RNA is filed under the name Rattus norvegicus (Norway rat). RNAcentral's name for it is "long non-coding RNA NONRATT026098". The record is from RNAcentral. Lineage: Eukaryota; Metazoa; Chordata; Mammalia; Rodentia; Muridae.
UUAGAGGAUCUGGUGGGAAGGGCACGUGUUCACACGGAGGGGACAGUUGACCCUUCCACGUACCAUUUUGCAGAGUGAGCCCUACACAACUCCAUAACGCCUUCCUCUGAAGACUAGUUUUUAUAGUACAGGGGAAACCUGGCCAGUGUUUACCUGCCACGGGACCUUGGAUGAGUCUGUUGCCUGGCUGGGCUGGCCAUGUCAGCCUUCUUUGUAGCCUGAGCCAGCCUUCCAGCCUCAGGGGGGUGUUGGAGACUCAUCUGAUGACAUCAUGUCAUUGGUCGACCAACAGCAAAGCAGAGUGCUUUAUAACUCCAGCAAACAUUCCACGAGGACCUCUCGGUACUGGGGGUGCCAGGGAAAAGGAUGAUUCAGAAGUUGCACCCCCCCAGGUGGGGGAGGAGCUAGGGUUGGAGGAGGAUCCAGUGGUAGGACGGAAGAGAAUGUAGUCCCAAAACAAAGCAAGCUUUGUCCAGUUCUCCUCUUUGUUUUAUCUUGUUAGUUAACCUAUUUUGAAUUUCAAAUAACAUUAUGGAAGGGCUGCACUGAGAAUAGUUCUUAUGCUUGGAGGCGGCUCCAGAGCUUUGGAAAAUUAAAAACAAACAAAAAAAAAAAAA